CGAGGCGUAAUAAAUUAUUGGGUUGUGGAAAUGGAAUCCCAGAACGCAUCACUCCGGUCGAGAAUCAAAACCUCAAACACAAACCUUAAACAAAAUGUAAAGAAUUUAUUAAGGAAUAACAAGUGAAAUAAAGAGCAAAUCUUCAGGAUGUCCAAAAGGCCAAAAUAACAAACAAAACGAAUAUAAAAGAAAAGAGGGGAAAUUAAUAACCUCCAAUAUCAAAAGAAAAUACAUUGAUUUUACCUAA
This is a non-coding RNA of Pimephales promelas (fathead minnow), 247 nucleotides long. The record is from RefSeq and is a predicted model, not a curated record. Lineage: Eukaryota; Metazoa; Chordata; Actinopteri; Cypriniformes; Leuciscidae.